This 1162-nucleotide unclassified non-coding RNA is filed under the name Yarrowia lipolytica. The record is from RNAcentral. Lineage: Eukaryota; Fungi; Ascomycota; Dipodascomycetes; Dipodascales.
UGCACUUAUAUAACGGUGGUGAUUCGGUAUCGAAAAGAGCGCAACGAACUCGGGCUUCUUCUGAGUAAGAAAAUCGCUGACUAGUGAUAAGGACCAGGCAUGCUGCUACAGUGGCCGGUCUCUGACUUCAGAACCAUGGACUACUCUGGUAUGUUCCCAUGUGCCCUUAUCAAAACGGAAUUACCUCCCGCGGGUACAGUACCCCUGCUUAGCGCAACUCGUAUUCGACAAUUUGAUGCGUCUGAAGACGCCCGAAAACUCACCUUUUGUGGCGGAACAUUUCCCCGAGGUUACUCACUAGUGCGGGUGGCAGGUUGCACGCUACUUGUACUCGCAGUUGCCGUGGGGUACAGUACAGUCCGAGGUCGAUUGGGUUUAAGGAGUUGAACCUGAGUGAUGUAUGGUGAUAAAAUGGAUACUGGGCCAUCACGAAGGGUCGAACACAGCAGGUGCACUUCAGCAGUUGAGACCCCUGUCGUAUGUCUGCAUUGCUGCCGGGUCUGCUCUCUGGAAUGUCUCCAGAUUAUUCGAGUCUAGCCUGCAACUAAAGCGCUCACAUGGGUUGCGACUCUUGUGGAAAGCAGGUUUUGCCGACAUUAGUCUGGGGAAAUGUAGGCAGACGUUCCACGCUGAGUUGCGUGUUGCUGCCUAUGUCAGGAGUUGCGAAUGGCUUUUUGAUUAAAACUUCUCCGGGGCUGGACCAAGGUCACAUGCACUUGUUUCAGGGCAAUGGUGAUAUGCGACUGUCUCUUUGGACGGGUGAAGUGAAGUUCGCUUUCAGAAAUUGCUUUUCGACAGCUGAAAGCGGAGAGGAAUGAGAACUCUUGAGGCACAUUUGACUGAUGCUGGUAGGGGUAUGGUACUACAAUCAGUAGAGGUUCAUCAUCUACUACACAUUACCGAACAGUACUUACUACUCGAAACCCUCCUAUCAAGUUCCAGUACAGUCGCGUAACAAAAUAAUCAGUGCUUUCUCGAGAGACUAGCCUCUGCCUACAAGUACUAUACCGCCGAGAGUUGAUUACAAGUACCAGGGCAGUACAGGGUUGAAAUAUUGAAGGAUUAUAAGUACUGUACUUGUACUUGUACACGACUUCGAUUUAGAACAUUGUCAAUGAACCUCACGCUGAGAUAACACUACCAACUUGCCGUAUCUUAUAUC